UAUACAUACAACAUAAUAAUAUACGUAUAGAUUGAAUUUGUUCCAACUUCCAGCAUCCUCUCAUUCUGUUUCAUUCUUCACGGAAAUUUUCUUUUCCGAAAAUUUCCAAUUUCCGCCAAUUCAUAAUUCAUUUCAAUCUUUCCACAAUUAUUAUGUCAUAGGGUUUCUGGUGUGCUGACAGUAGUAUUGGCGUUCACUCUAUCCUACUGUUGAGUCUCUUCCCUUCUGCACCUGUCUCAAAUGCCAGGCCUAGAAGGAAAUGAGGCUGUUGAUGAGAAAACAGAUAGGAAGUUAGAUCUCGAGAGUUCUGAAGAUGAGAUUCGGUCAUCCAGAACUAGAUCCUUAAAUAAGAAGGCAAUGAAUGCUUCUAACAGAUUCAGCGAUUCGUUGAAAAAGAGACAAAAGAGGAAAGUUCAUUACCAAAUUCCUUCAUUUCCCAUAGAAGAUGUUCGUGAUGCAAAGCAGGAGAAAUAUGUAUGUGAAUUAAGAGAACAACUCCUUGAUAAAAACUUACUGCCAGCUAGACACGACGACUAUCAUACCUUGUUGAGGUUCUUGAAGGCCCGGGAUUUUGACAUUGGAAGAACAAUCCUCAUGUGGGAAGAAAUGCUAAAUUGGCGAAAAGAGUUUGAAGCAGAUACAAUACUAGAGGAUUACAAAUUUGAUGAGCUGGAAGAAGUAUUGCAACAGUAUCCGCAAGGGUACCAUGGAGUUGACAGAGAAGGCAGGCCUGUUUAUAUUGAAAGGCUUGGCAUGGCUCACCCGAGUAAGCUUAUGCAAAUCACUUCAGUUGAUCGUUACCUAAAAUACCACGUUCAAGAGUUUGAACGGGCUUUUAAAGAAAAAUUUCCCGCCUGCUCAAUUGCCGCAAAGAAAAUGAUUAGUUCAACUACAACAAUUUUGGAUGUACAAGGAAUGGGUUUGAAGAAUUUUACUCCAACUGCUGCAAGUAUUCUUGGAGCUGUGACAAAGGUUGACAGUAGCUACUACCCAGAGACACUACAUCAGAUGUUUGUCGUCAAUGCUAGCUCAACGUUUAAGAAUUAUUUAUGGCCUGCUGCUCAAAAGUUUCUGGAUGCAAAAACAAUUCCAAAAAUUCAGGUGCUGGACCCUAAGUCAUUGGAAAAGCUACUUGAGGCCAUUGAUCCAACCCAAUUGCCUGACUUCCUUGGUGGUUCAUGCACUUGUUCUUCUCAGGGUGGUUGUCUUCGGUCUAACAUGGGUCCAUGGAAUGACAUUGAAAUAAUGAGGGUUGUAAACAAUGCCCGCUUCCAACAAAAAAAUGACUCCUGUGUUCAAACCACGGAGGGAGGAAUCGAUAAAUCAAUUAUUGAAUCAGGAUCAGAUGCUGAUGAUCGUUGUUUAACUAGCCCAAAUAGUUUUAAGGUCCCAGAAUCGGUAUCUGUUAGUGAUGAAGCAGUGGCAUCUGAUUCACCCGUUUACUACAGUUGUGAUGAUGACGAUGAUAAUGAAUUAAGUGAAGCUAACACUUCUGAUCAAGGGCUGCAAAUAUCGCCAAGUCAGCAUCCGUCACAUAGAGCUAUUGCCUCUGCGAAGAUGAGCUUCAGAUAUAUAACAAGACCAGUAGUCUUAUUGGCAAAAAAACUUAUAACACCUAUUUGCAGCCUACCUAUUGGAACUAACGCAGAGGGACCCACUCCCACCAUUGAUUCAACUUCUCAUACAGAUCAAAUCGUUCCAUGUUUGGAGCGUUUAAAGAAACUUGAAACGAUGGUGGAGGAACUUAGCACAAAACCCGCUCAGAUUCCCGCCGAGAAAGAGCAGAUGUUGCAACAUUCGAUGGACAGGAUCAAAUCAAUAGAAGUUGAUCUCGAUAAAACCAAGAAAACGCUACAUGCCACUUUAGUCAGGCAACUUGAGAUUUCGGAAUUGAUGGAAAGGCUUCAGCAGUUAAAAUUCUGUCAUAGAAGGUUGUGUUGAAAUUUGAUGUACAGGAGAAAAAGGAAGAGGUAAAUCUUACAAAUGUGAUGGCAUAUGCACAGGAAAAUACCAAGACUAACCUUUUGUUCUUCUUUAUGCUAAUCAUUGGCAGUAAUUUUGCUGGAAUUUGAUGAACUAGAGAAACUGAAAAAAGGUGAAACCUAUGAAUGUGAGGCAUGCAAAGUGCAACAGUAUAACUACCCUUUUCUGUUCUCCAUUGUGCCAAUACUGUUUGAAUAUUGAGAGAAAAGUAGUUACAAUGGAGGGUUAUAUUAUGUUGAUUGAAUAAGGUUUCGUGAAAUGCAAAUUGAGAAGUGAAUACAUGGUCCAAAAGAUUGUGUUUCUUAAA
Molecule: RNA transcript, 2290 nt
Organism: Helianthus annuus (common sunflower)
Lineage: Eukaryota; Viridiplantae; Streptophyta; Magnoliopsida; Asterales; Asteraceae
Gene name: phosphatidylinositol/phosphatidylcholine transfer protein SFH13
Exons: 14
Source: RefSeq, a predicted model, not a curated record